Molecule: ribosomal RNA, 254 nt
Filed under: uncultured bacterium
Lineage: Bacteria
Description: partial 16S ribosomal RNA
Rfam family: Bacterial small subunit ribosomal RNA
Source: RNAcentral
UACGUAGGUGGCAAGCGUUGUCCGGAUUUACUGGGCGUAAAGAGCGCGCAGGCGGUCGUUCAAGUCGCGUGUGAAAGCCCCCGGCUCAACUGGGGAGGGUCACGCGAUACUGAUCGACUGGAAGGCAGGAGAGGGUAGUGGAAUUCCCGGUGUAGUGGUGAAAUUCGUAGAUAUCGGGAGGAACACCAGUGGCGAAGGCGGCGAUCUGGGGUCGAUACUGACGCUGAGGUGCGAAAGCGUGGGGAGCAAACAGG